AUGGCCGACGGCGAUGGUUGCUCCAUCCCCCUCCCCCUCCCAGACGGCUGCCUUUUCCUCGGGUUUGAUUGCUCCACGCAGUCGCUGAAAGCCACCGUGCUGGACGCGAGCCUCGCAAUCGUCGCCCACGACGCCGUGCACUUCGACUCCGAGCUGCCGCACUACGGCACGGAGGGCGGCGUCCGCCGGGACCCGGCCGAGCCGGGCCGCAUCGUGUCGCCGCCGCUGAUGUGGGCCGAGGCCCUGGACCUGCUCCUCCGCAGGCUCAAGCCCAGGGUGGACUACGGCCGCGUAGCCGCCGUCUCCGGCAGCGCGCAGCAGCACGGCAGCGUCUACUGGGGCCGCGGGGCGGGCGCCGCGUUGGCCUCCCUGGACCCGGCCAGGGGCCUGGCGCCGCAGCUGGCCGGCGCGUUCGCCGCGCCGGAGUCGCCCGUGUGGAUGGACAGCAGCUCGACGGCGCAGUGCCGGGAGGUCGAGGCCACGCUGGGAGGCCCGCUGGCGCUGGCCCGGAUGACGGGGUGCCGGGCGCACGAGCGGUGCACCGGCCCGCAGAUCAGGAAGAUGUUCCAGACGAGGCGGGGCCUCUACGACGGCACCGAGAGGAUCUCGCUUGUCAGCUCGUUCAUGGCGUCGUUGCUCAUCGGCGGCUAUGCCUGCAUCGACCAGACCGACGGUGCCGGGAUGAACUUGAUGGACAUUGAGACGCGUCAGCUGCGCCAAGAUGCCCUUGAGGCUACAGCUCCAGAUUUGGAUGUGAAGAUUGGGAAGCUAGCACCAGCGCAUGCUAUCGCUGGAACUUUAGCUCCUUAUUUUGUUCAGAGAUUUCAGUUUCCAAGCAACUGUCUGGUUGUUCAGUGGUCAGGGGACAACCCCAAUAGCCUUGCAGGCCUAACAUUGAGCAAUCCUGGUGAUCUAGCAAUCAGCCUUGGAACAAGUGAUACAGUAUUUGGGGUUACUGAUGUGCCUGAACCAUCCCUGGAUGGAAACGUACUUCCUAAUCCAGUUGACCCCAACACCUACAUGGUUAUGCUUUGCUAUAAAAAUGGAUCUCUAACUCGAGAAGACAUUCGUGAUCGUUAUGCUGAGAAAUCAUGGGAUGUGUUCAACAACUUGCUUGAGCAAACAGACCCCCUAAAUGGAGGGAAACUAGGAUUUUACUACAAGGAGCACGAGAUCCUGCCACCACUUCCAGUCGGGUUUCACCGCUACAUUGUUGACACCUUAACCAAUGGACCAUUAGCUGAGACCAAGGAACAUGAAACCGAUGAGUUUGAUCCUCCGUCAGAGGUGCGUGCGUUAAUAGAAGGCCAGUUCAUGUCCAUGAGGGGACAUGCCGAGAGGUGCGGCCUGCCGGUGCCUCCGAAGCGGAUCAUAGCAACUGGUGGCGCCUCGUCGAACCAGGCCAUUCUCAAGACGAUGGCGUCCAUUUUCGGCUGUCCGGUUUACACUGUUCAGAGACCAGACUCUGCCUCGCUGGGUGCUGCUCUGAGGGCAGCCCAUGGGUGGCUCUGCAAGCAGCGCGGCGAGUUUGUGCCGAUCUCACGCGUGUACUCGGGCAGAUUGGAUAGGAAAUCGCUCAGCAUGAAGCUGGCUGUUCCAUUUGGGGGCUGCGAGGGGGACGAUGAGCUCCUGAACAAGUACGCGUUGUUGGUGGAGAAGAGGCUGGAGAUUGAGCAGAAGCUUGUGGAGAGGUUUGGCCGUGUGAAGUAG
This 1710-nucleotide ribosomal RNA is filed under the name Triticum aestivum (bread wheat). RNAcentral describes it as "partial small subunit ribosomal RNA". The record is from RNAcentral. Lineage: Eukaryota; Viridiplantae; Streptophyta; Magnoliopsida; Poales; Poaceae.